RNAcentral lists this ribosomal RNA (105 nucleotides) under uncultured bacterium. RNAcentral describes it as "partial 16S ribosomal RNA". It matches the Rfam family "Bacterial small subunit ribosomal RNA", at positions 411 to 508 of the family's 1533-position model. The record is from RNAcentral.
AAGGCCUUCGGGUUGUAAAGCACUUUUGUCCGGAAAGAAAACCUUUGCACUAAUACUGUGAGGGGAUGACGGUACCGGAAGAAUAAGCACCGGCUAACUACGUGC